RNAcentral lists this ribosomal RNA (253 nucleotides) under uncultured prokaryote. RNAcentral's name for it is "partial 16S ribosomal RNA". It matches the Rfam family "Bacterial small subunit ribosomal RNA", at positions 524 to 776 of the family's 1533-position model. The record is from RNAcentral.
UACGUAGGCAGCAAGCGUUGUUCGGAGUUACUGGGCGUAAAGAGUGCGUAGGCGGUUUCCUAAGUUUGGUGUGAAAUCUCCCGGCUUAACUGGGAGGGUGCGCCGAAGACUGGGGAGCUAGAGGAUGGGAAAGGCAAGCGGAAUUCCUGGUGUAGCGGUGAAAUUCGUAGAUAUCAGGAGGAAUACCUAUGGCGAAAGCAGGUAUCUGGGCCAUCACUGACGCUGAGCUGCGAAAGCUAGGGGAGCAAACAGG